GUUUCGCUCAAGGUGGAGCAGGGGCAGGUUGUGACGCUGCUCGGCUCCAACGGGGCGGGCAAGUCCACCACGCUGCGUGCGAUAUCAGGCCUCGCCAAGCCGGCGGCCGGAGAAAUCCUGUUCGACGGCAAGUCGAUUGUGGGCCUCGGACCGGAAGCCAUCGUGCGUCUCGGUAUUUCGCACGUUCCGGAGGGGCGGCGGGUGUUUCCCGGCCUCACCGUGAAAGAAAACAUCAUGCUUGGCGCGUCGAACC
Molecule: unclassified non-coding RNA, 253 nt
Filed under: Hevea brasiliensis (rubber tree)
Lineage: Eukaryota; Viridiplantae; Streptophyta; Magnoliopsida; Malpighiales; Euphorbiaceae
Source: RNAcentral